GAGGGUAUAGCUCAGGGGGUGGAGCGCGUGCUUAAUUAGCACACACAAGGUCCUGGGUUCAAUCCCCAGCACCUCCA
Molecule: transfer RNA, 77 nt
Filed under: Camelus bactrianus (Bactrian camel)
Lineage: Eukaryota; Metazoa; Chordata; Mammalia; Artiodactyla; Camelidae
Also listed under: 2 other names
Rfam family: tRNA
About the family: Transfer RNA (tRNA) molecules are approximately 80 nucleotides in length. Their secondary structure includes four short double-helical elements and three loops (D, anti-codon, and T loops).
Source: Rfam by way of RNAcentral